GCCUGGGUGGCUCAGUGGUUAAGCGUCUGCCUUUGGCUCAGAUCAUGAUCCAAGGGUCCUGGGAUCAAGUCCCACAUCAGGCU
Molecule: non-coding RNA, 83 nt
Organism: Canis lupus familiaris (dog)
Lineage: Eukaryota; Metazoa; Chordata; Mammalia; Carnivora; Canidae
Source: Rfam